This 165-nucleotide ribosomal RNA is filed under the name uncultured bacterium. RNAcentral describes it as "partial 16S rRNA". It matches the Rfam family "Bacterial small subunit ribosomal RNA", at positions 355 to 511 of the family's 1533-position model. The record is from RNAcentral.
UAGGGAAUCUUCGGCAAUGGACGAAAGUCUGACCGAGCAACGCCGCGUGAGUGAAGAAGGUUUUCGAAUCGUAAAACUCUGUUGGUAGAGAAGAACGUUGGUGAGAGUGGAAAGCUCAUCAAGUGACGGUAACUACCCAGAAAGGGACGGCUAACUACGUGCCAA